This 253-nucleotide ribosomal RNA is filed under the name uncultured bacterium. RNAcentral's name for it is "partial 16S ribosomal RNA". It matches the Rfam family "Bacterial small subunit ribosomal RNA", at positions 524 to 776 of the family's 1533-position model. The record is from RNAcentral.
UACGUAGGGGGCAAGCGUUGUCCGGAUUCAUUGGGCGUAAAGAGCGUGUAGGCGGCCAGGUAGGUCGGUUGUGAAAACUGGAGGCUCAACCUUCAGAGGUCGACCGAAACCAUCUGGCUAGAGUCCGGGAGAGGAGAGUGGAAUUCCAGGUGUAGCGGUGAAAUGCGUAGAUAUCUGGAGGAACACCGGUGGCGAAGGCGGCAUCCUGGACCAAUUCUGACGCUGAGGAGCGAAAGCCAGGGGAGCAAACGGG